UGGGGAAUCUUCCGCAAUGGACGAAAGUCUGACGGAGCAACGCCGCGUGAGUGAUGACGGCCUUCGGGUUGUAAAGCUCUGUUAAUCGGGACGAAUGGUUCUUGUGCAAAUAGUGCGAGGAUUUGACGGUACCGGAAUAGAAAGCCACGGCUAACUACGUGCCAGCAGCCGCGGUAAUACGUAGGUGGCAAGCGUUGUCCGGAAUUAUUGGGCGUAAAGCGCGCGCAGGCGGAUUGGUCAGUCUGUCUUAAAAGUUCGGGGCUUAACCCCGUGAUGGGAUGGAAACUGCCAAUCUAGAGUAUCGGGGAGGAAAGUGGAAUUCCUAGUGUAGCGGUGAAAUGAGUAGAUAUUAGGAAGAACACCAGUGGCGAAGGAGACUUUCUGGACGAAAACUGACGCUGAGGCGCGAAAGCCAGGGGAGCGAACGGG
RNAcentral lists this ribosomal RNA (429 nucleotides) under Chloroflexota bacterium. Its description in RNAcentral is "Chloroflexi bacterium partial 16S ribosomal RNA". It matches the Rfam family "Bacterial small subunit ribosomal RNA", at positions 355 to 776 of the family's 1533-position model. Lineage: Bacteria; Bacillati; Chloroflexota. The record is from RNAcentral.